UACGUAGGGUGCAAGCGUUGUCCGGAAUUAUUGGGCGUAAAGAGCUCGUAGGCGGUUUGUCACGUCGGAUGUGAAAACCCGAGGCUUAACCUCGGGCCUGCAUUCGAUACGGGCUGACUAGAGUUCGGUAGGGGAGACUGGAAUUCCUGGUGUAGCGGUGAAAUGCGCAGAUAUCAGGAGGAACACCGGUGGCGAAGGCGGGUCUCUGGGCCAUAACUGACGCUGAGGAGCGAAAGCGUGGGGAGCGAACAGG
This 253-nucleotide ribosomal RNA is filed under the name uncultured bacterium. RNAcentral describes it as "partial 16S ribosomal RNA". It matches the Rfam family "Bacterial small subunit ribosomal RNA", at positions 524 to 776 of the family's 1533-position model. The record is from RNAcentral.